CCUACGGGAGGCUGUAGUGGGGAAUUUUGGACAAUGGGGGCAACCCUGAUCCAGCCAUGCCGCGUGAGUGAAGAAGGCCUUCGGGUUGUAAAGCUCUUUCGGCCGGGAAGAAAUCGCUCAAGCUAAUACCUUGGGUGGAUGACGGUACCGGAAGAAGAAGCACCGGCUCACUACGUGCCAGCAGCCGCGGUAAUACGUAGGGUGCGAACGUUACUCGGAAUUACUGGGCGUAGAGCGUGCGCACAGAUGGGAAAUCCCCGGGCUUAACCUGGGAACUGCGUUUGUGACUGUGGUGCUCGAGUGCGGCAGAGGGGGGUGGAAUUCCACGUGUAGCAGUGAAAUGCGUAGAGAUGUGGAGGAACACCGAUGGCGAAGGCAGCCCCCUGGGUCGACACUGACGCUCAUGCACGAAAGCGUGGGGAGCAAACAGGAUUAGAUACCCCAGUAGUC
Molecule: ribosomal RNA, 450 nt
Filed under: uncultured bacterium
Lineage: Bacteria
Description: partial 16S ribosomal RNA
Rfam family: Bacterial small subunit ribosomal RNA
Source: RNAcentral